Molecule: transfer RNA, 51 nt
Filed under: Demodex folliculorum
Lineage: Eukaryota; Metazoa; Arthropoda; Arachnida; Trombidiformes; Demodicidae
Description: tRNA-Pro
Source: RNAcentral
CAGAAAAGAGUCUUUUGAUAUUUACUUUGGGAGUAAAAGGAGUGCUUCUGA